UACGUAGGGUGCAAGCGUUGUCCGGAACUAUUGGGCGUAAAGAGCUCGUAGGCGGUCUGUCGCGUCGGCUGUGAAAACCCGAGGCUCAACCUCGGGCCUGCAGUCGAUACGGGCAAACUAGAGUACUGCAGGGGAGACUGGAAUUCCUGGUGUAGCGGUGAAAUGCGCAGAUAUCAGGAGGAACACCGGUGGCGAAGGCGGGUCUCUGGGCAGUAACUGACGCUGAGGAGCGAAAGCGUGGGGAGCGAACAGG
RNAcentral lists this ribosomal RNA (253 nucleotides) under uncultured bacterium. RNAcentral's name for it is "partial 16S ribosomal RNA". It matches the Rfam family "Bacterial small subunit ribosomal RNA", at positions 524 to 776 of the family's 1533-position model. The record is from RNAcentral.